AGAACGAACGCUGGCGGCAUGCCUAAUACAUGCAAGUCGAACGAACUCUUCGGAGUUAGUGGCGCACGGGUGCGUAACGCGUGGGAAUCUGCCCUUGGGUUCGGAAUAACAGUUGGAAACGACUGCUAAUACCGGAUGAUGACGAAAGUCCAAAGAUUUAUCGCCCAGGGAUGAGCCCGCGUAGGAUUGGCUAGUUGGUGAGGUAAAGGCUCACCAAGGCGACGAUCCUUAGCUGGUCUGAGAGGAUGAUCAGCCACACUGGGACUGAGACACGGCCCAGACUCCUACGGGAGGCAGCAGUAGGGAAUAUGGACAAUGGGCAAAGCCUGAUCCAGCAAUGCCGCGUGAGUGAUGAAGCCUUAGGUUGUAAAGCUCUUUACCCGAGAUGAUAAUGACAGUAUCGGGAGAACAAGCCCCGGACUAACCGUCCGUAGCCCAAGCCAGCCCGC
This 449-nucleotide ribosomal RNA is filed under the name uncultured soil bacterium. RNAcentral's name for it is "bacterial SSU rRNA". It matches the Rfam family "Bacterial small subunit ribosomal RNA", at positions 26 to 518 of the family's 1533-position model. The record is from RNAcentral.